This 425-nucleotide ribosomal RNA is filed under the name uncultured bacterium. RNAcentral describes it as "bacterial SSU rRNA". It matches the Rfam family "Bacterial small subunit ribosomal RNA", at positions 354 to 796 of the family's 1533-position model. The record is from RNAcentral.
GUGGGGAAUAUUGGACAAUGGGCGAAAGCCUGAUCCAGCAAUGCCGCGUGAGUGAUGAAGGCCUUAGGGUUGUAAAGCUCUUUUACCCGGGAUGAUAAUGACAGUACCGGGAGAAUAAGCCCCGGCUAACUCCGUGCCAGCAGCCGCGGUAAUACGGAGGGGGCUAGCGUUGUUCGGAAUUACUGGGCGUAAAGCGCACGUAGGCGGCUUCCUAAGUCAGAGGUGAAAGCCUGGAGCUCAACUCCAGAACUGCCUUUGAGACUGGGUCGCUUGAAUCCGGGAGAGGUGAGUGGAAUUCCGAGUGUAGAGGUGAAAUUCGUAGAUAUUCGGAAGAACACCAGUGGCGAAGGCGGCUCACUGGACCGGCAUUGACGCUGAGGUGCGAAAGCGUGGGGAGCAAACAGGAUUAGAAACCCUAGUAGUCC